ACACCAGUGAAAUAUGCCCUAACAAAACAAACGGAGCAGGUAUCAGGCACGAAUAUUCAGCCCAAAACACCAAGCUACGCCACACCCACACGGGUCCUCAGCAGUGAUAAACAUUAAGCAAUAAGCGAACCUCACUCAACUAAAGCUUGACUUAGUUAUGAUUAAUAGGGCCGGUCAACCUCGUGCCAGCCACCGCGGUUACACGAGGGGCUCAAAGCAGCAAACUCCGGCGUAAAUCGUGAUUAGAAUACUUACCCCCAGCCUAAAAGCUAAACAAUGCCCUAACCGUAAAACACAGGCCAAAUGAAACCCUCAACUUUUAAUGUACCGGUAAUUUGAAUCACGAAAACUAAGAAACAAACUAGGAUUAGAUACCCUACUAUGCUUAGUCGUUAAUAUGGUGUAUUAAUACAUAAAACACCCGCCAGAAAACUACAAGCGAAAAGCUUAAAACUCAAAGGACUUGGCGGUGCUCCACACCCGACUUAGAGGAGCCUGUCCUAUAAUCGAUACUCCACGUUAAACCCCACCACUCAUUGCCCAAACAGCCUAUAUACCGCCGUCGCCAACUUACCCCAUGAGGGUAUAACAGUAAGUACAAUAGUUAAUUAACUAAAACGUCAGGUCAAGGUGUAGCUAAUGGAGUGGUAGAGAUGGGCUACAUUUUUUAAAAUAAAACAAACGGCACGAAACUAUGAAACAAGCUUCCGAAGGAGGAUUUAAUAGUAAAAUUAUUAAGAAAACUAAUUUAAAAU
RNAcentral lists this ribosomal RNA (755 nucleotides) under Phrynosoma douglasii (pigmy short-horned lizard). Its description in RNAcentral is "partial 12S ribosomal RNA". It matches the Rfam family "Bacterial small subunit ribosomal RNA", at positions 69 to 1368 of the family's 1533-position model. Lineage: Eukaryota; Metazoa; Chordata; Lepidosauria; Squamata; Phrynosomatidae. The record is from RNAcentral.